RNAcentral lists this ribosomal RNA (255 nucleotides) under uncultured bacterium. Its description in RNAcentral is "partial 16S ribosomal RNA". It matches the Rfam family "Bacterial small subunit ribosomal RNA", at positions 524 to 776 of the family's 1533-position model. The record is from RNAcentral.
UACGUAGGGUGCGAGCGUUGUCCGGAAUUAUUGGGCGUAAAGAGCUUGUAGGCGGUUUGUCGCGUCUGCCGUGAAAUUUCGAGGCUCAACCUCGAACUUGCGGUGGGUACGGGGCAGACUAGAGUGUGGUAGGGGAGACUGGAAUUCCUGGUGUAGCGGUGAAAUGCGCAGAUAUCAGGAGGAACACCGAUGGCGAAGGCAGGUCUCUGGGCCACUACUGACGCUGAGAAGCGAAAGCAUGGGGGAGCGAACAGG